GGUGUAGCUCAGUGGUAGAGCCCCGGAUUGUGACUCCGGUGGUCGUGGGUUCAAGUCCCAUCAUC
This 65-nucleotide transfer RNA is filed under the name Diaphanoeca grandis. It matches the Rfam family "tRNA". From Rfam's summary of the family: Transfer RNA (tRNA) molecules are approximately 80 nucleotides in length. Lineage: Eukaryota; Choanoflagellata; Acanthoecida; Stephanoecidae. The record is from RNAcentral. RNAcentral also lists the same sequence under 5 other names.